This 276-nucleotide long non-coding RNA is filed under the name Sinocyclocheilus anshuiensis. RNAcentral's name for it is "lncRNA (ENSSANG00000041321.1)". The record is from RNAcentral. Lineage: Eukaryota; Metazoa; Chordata; Actinopteri; Cypriniformes; Cyprinidae.
UGGCAGUUGUGGUGUAAGGAUGCUGAAAGAGAUUGCCAUGCUUGAAAGUAUACCUGCUUUAAUCAUUGAAAGUCUUGUUGAAGGUGGAAGAAAGCAUGUGAAGCUGAUUGAAUAUGACCGCUGAACUGCAUCAAGAGAAAUGCCAUCAGAUCCUACACUUUCCUGGGCAUUGUAUAAGAAACCGUUUACUUCACUAUGGCAUUUGGUGAGGUUAAACAUUUCGGUAUUUGUGAUAUUUGAUCUGAAUUUCUGAGGAACCAUGCACCAAAAGGUGAA